RNAcentral lists this long non-coding RNA (216 nucleotides) under Vigna radiata. Its description in RNAcentral is "long non-coding RNA (VRAD_LNC005559)". Lineage: Eukaryota; Viridiplantae; Streptophyta; Magnoliopsida; Fabales; Fabaceae. The record is from RNAcentral.
CGGGGGCUAAACUGAACAUCAGAACUUAACUUAGGGACAAAAAAAGGUUUAAACCUAAAAUAUAUUUGUUAUGAGUCUAGAUCUUGAAUUGUAAUUACAUUGAUUAUUUAUUAGGGAUUUGGAAGUUGAGUUAGAUAGAAUUUGGACAAACAUACACUUAACUUUAAAAAACAAAACUAAUGAGUUGGGUUGCGUUUCUGCAUUUUAAUGUUAAAC